UGGGGAAUUUUGGACAAUGGGGGAAACCCUGAUCCAGCCAUCCCGCGUGUGCGAUGAAGGCCUUCGGGUUGUAAAGCACUUUUGGCAGGAAAGAAACGUCAUGGGUUAAUACCCCGUGAAACUGACGGUACCUGCAGAAUAAGCACCGGCUAACUACGUGCCAGCAGCCGCGGUAAUACGUAGGGUGCAAGCGUUAAUCGGAAUUACUGGGCGUAAAGCGUGCGCAGGCGGUUCGGAAAGAAAGAUGUGAAAUCCCAGAGCUCAACUUUGGAACUGCAUUUUUAACUACCGGGCUAGAGUGUGUCAGAGGGAGGUGGAAUUCCGCGUGUAGCAGUGAAAUGCGUAGAUAUGAGGAGGAACACCGAUGGCGAAGGCAGCCUCCUGGGAUAACACUGACGCUCAUGCACGAAAGCGUGUGGAGCAAACAGG
Molecule: ribosomal RNA, 429 nt
Filed under: Acidobacteriota bacterium
Lineage: Bacteria; Pseudomonadati; Acidobacteriota
Description: Acidobacteria bacterium partial 16S ribosomal RNA
Rfam family: Bacterial small subunit ribosomal RNA
Source: RNAcentral